GAUGAAGAACGUAGUGAAAUGCGAUAAGUAAUGUGAAUUGCAGAAUUCAGUGAAUCAUCGAAUCUUUGAACGCACAUUGCGCCCGCCAGUAUUCUGGCGGGCAUGCCUGUUCGAGCGUCAUUUCCACCAUCAGACCCCCGGGCCUGUGUUGGGGACCUGCGGCUGCCCGCAGGCCCCGAAAUUCAGUGGCGGUCGCGCCGUAGCAACCGAGCGUAGUAACUAAAACGUCUCGCUCUGGCUCGCUGGGCGCGCUCCGGCCGUAAAACACCCCCCCUUUUCGCAAAGGUUGACCUCGGAUCAGGUAGGAAUACCCGCUGAACUUAAGCAUAUCAAUAAGCGGAGGA
RNAcentral lists this unclassified non-coding RNA (344 nucleotides) under soil metagenome. RNAcentral's name for it is "partial contains 5.8S ribosomal RNA, internal transcribed spacer 2, and large subunit ribosomal RNA". The stretch from base 1 to 120 matches the Rfam family "5.8S ribosomal RNA", at positions 35 to 154 of the family's 154-position model. The record is from RNAcentral.